RNAcentral lists this ribosomal RNA (301 nucleotides) under uncultured bacterium. RNAcentral's name for it is "partial 16S ribosomal RNA". It matches the Rfam family "Bacterial small subunit ribosomal RNA", at positions 509 to 807 of the family's 1533-position model. The record is from RNAcentral.
CAGCAGCCGCGGGAAUACGAAGGGUGCAAGCGUUACUCGGAAUUACUGGGCGUAAAGCGUGCGUAGGUGGUGGUUUAAGUCCGUUGUGAAAGCCCUGGGCUCAACCUGGGAAUUGCAGUGGAUACUGGGUCACUAGAGUGUGGUAGAGGAUAGUGGAAUUUCCGGUGUAGCAGUGAGAUGCGUAGAGAUCGGAAGGAACAUCUGUGGCGAAGGCGACUAUCUGGGCCAACACUGACACUGAGGCACGAAAGCGUGGGGAGCAAACAGGAUUAGAUACCCGAGUAGUCCCUGUCUCUUAUAC